Molecule: ribosomal RNA, 330 nt
Filed under: uncultured Methanomicrobiales archaeon
Lineage: Archaea; Methanobacteriati; Methanobacteriota; Methanomicrobia; Methanomicrobiales
Description: bacterial SSU rRNA
Rfam family: Archaeal small subunit ribosomal RNA
Source: RNAcentral
CGUACUGUGAAGCAUCCUGUUUAAGUCAGGCAACGAGCCGAGACCCACGCCAACAGUUGCCAGCUCGUCUCCGGGAUGGUGGGGACACUGUUGGGACCGCUCUGCUAAAGAGGAGGAAGGGAAUGGGCAACGGUAGGUCAGCAUGCCCCGAAUUAUCUGGGCUACACGCGGGCUACAAUGGGUGGGACAAUGGGUAUCGACACCGAAAGGUGAAGGCAAUCUCCUAAACCCAUCCGUAGUUCGGAUUGUGGGCUGCAACUCGCCCACAUGAAGCUGGAAUCUGUAGUAAUCGUGUCUCAAAAUGGCACGGUGAAUAUGUCCCUGCUCCUU